Molecule: long non-coding RNA, 1154 nt
Filed under: Homo sapiens (human)
Lineage: Eukaryota; Metazoa; Chordata; Mammalia; Primates; Hominidae
Description: HSALNT0320477
Source: RNAcentral
GUGAUGUUUAAGAAAGACCAAAGGGACCAGCUUGGCUGGGGGAGUGAAGGAGGAGAGAGGAAGCCAGAGAUGGGAUCAGACAGGUAACAGAACAAAGCAUCUGGCUGUGUAGGUCAAGCUAGGAGUGGACAAGUGGUCAAGUGAUGGUGCUGGCCAAUGAGAGGCUGUAUGGGAAGCAUGGCGGUAUCUGCUCGGCUUCUGGGGAGGCCUCAGGAAAACUACAAUCAUGGCGGAAGGUGAAGGGGGAGCCAGCACUUCACAUGGCCAGGAGCAGCAGGAAGUGGAAGAGGUGCUACACACUUUUAAACAGCCACAUCUCAUGAGAACUCACUAUCUCCACAACAGCACCAAGAGGGAUGGUGUUAAACCAUGAGAAACCAGCCCCAUGAUCCAAUCACCUCCUACCAAGCUCCAUCUUCAACAAUGGGAAUUACAGUUCAACGUGAAAUUUGAGCAAAGACACAGAUUGAAACCAUACCAGCCAUAGAUGGGUGCUGCACAGCCAGGGCUUUCCGUUUGGAGCUGCCCAUUAAAUACCCAGUUGCUGUGCCCAUUCACUGGCAGGCCAAUUAAUACUUUCUAAUAUAAUUUAAUAAACCCUUAACUUUGUGAGUGGCCAAAUGGCUACUACUACUCAGUUUUCAAGACUCAGUUCCAAUAUGCAGAUAAAGUUGUGAAAGAAUGGAGAAAACUGUUAAGAUUAGUUAUCUCUGGGAAAGGAGAGUAGGUAGGGGUGAUCAUGAGAGGGACUUUUCACUGUAUAACCUCCUAUGCUAUUUGAAUAUCUCACAAUAUUAGUGUAUUAUUUUUAUAAUUGGAUUUUCAAAAGUUAGAGAAAUGGGGGUGCCGUCUUUGUUUUUUUUGGUUUAAAAAUGACCUAAAAUGUCUUGUAAAGAAGGCGCAAAAGCCAUAUGGGAAACAAUAAGUAAAAAUACCUUAAGUAGUUUUUAAAAAUUAUUGUCUUAAACAUCAUUGAGAGCUGUUGUCUCAUUUAAAAUGUACUCAUUAACACGCCAAAGGAUAAAAUAAAUAAGUAAAUAAGGAGCAUGUCGUAUGUCCUUUGUAAAUGCAAAGCAAUUCUCUCAUCCACCAUUAGUGGGCCAUCAGCCUUCCUCUUCAAUUCCUACCUGACUGUGGGACAUGUCCAGCCUUCU